GACCUUCGGGUCUAGUGGCGCACGGGUGCGUAACGCGUGGGAAUCUGCCCUCUGGUACGGAAUAACUCAGGGAAACUUGAGCUAAUACCGUAUAAUGACUUCGGUCCAAAGAUUUAUCGCCUGAGGAUGAGCCCGCGUAGGAUUAGCUUGUUGGUGAGGUAAAAGCUCACCAAGGCGACGAUCCUUAGCUGGUCUGAGAGGAUGAUCAGCCACACUGGGACUGAGACACGGCCCAGACUCCUACGGGAGGCAGCAGUGGGGAAUAUUGGACAAUGGGCGAAAGCCUGAUCCAGCAAUGCCGCGUGAGUGAUGAAGGCCUUAGGGUUGUAAAGCUCUUUUACCCGGGAUGAUAAUGACAGUACCGGGAGAAUAAGCCCCGGCUAACUCCGUGCCAGCAGCG
Molecule: ribosomal RNA, 400 nt
Filed under: uncultured bacterium
Lineage: Bacteria
Description: bacterial SSU rRNA
Rfam family: Bacterial small subunit ribosomal RNA
Source: RNAcentral